GUUCUUUGCUGUUUUUUGUUCUUUGAUUUACUGGUUGACCCAAAUAUUCUUAAGCAGGAUGACAUUUAGCUUCCAAGUGUUUGAAUUUCUUCCAAAAUUUUCUUGUGAUUGAGUUCCAGUUUCAAAGCAUUAUGGUCUGGGAAUAUGCAGGGAAUAAUCUCAA
Long non-coding RNA from Mustela erminea (ermine), 163 nucleotides. RefSeq lists it as uncharacterized. The transcript has 3 exons. The record is from RefSeq and is a predicted model, not a curated record. Lineage: Eukaryota; Metazoa; Chordata; Mammalia; Carnivora; Mustelidae.